AUAAUGCUCUCUGGCUUCGGUCAGCUGAGUUCAAUGAGUGCCUUCUCUUCGGAGUUGGCCAUCCACACACACCGUGAACUGUGGCUUCGGCCAUCACAAACUGUUAGUAAUGAAUGUAAUAUCAUAACAAAAACA
RNAcentral lists this unclassified non-coding RNA (135 nucleotides) under uncultured Tremellales. Its description in RNAcentral is "sequence contains ITS1". The record is from RNAcentral. Lineage: Eukaryota; Fungi; Basidiomycota; Tremellomycetes; Tremellales.